AAGCAUAUCAAUAAGCGGAGGAAAAGAAACUAACAAGGAUUCCCCUAGUAACUGCGAGUGAAGCGGGAAGAGCUCAAAUUUAAAAUCUGACAGUCUCUGAUUGUUCGAGUUGUAAUCUAGAGAAGCAUUAUCCGCACUGGACUGUGUACAAGUCUUCUGGAAUGGAGCAUCGUAGAGGGUGAGAAUCCCGUCUUUGACACAGACUACCAGAGCUUUGUGAUGUGCUCUCAAAGAGUCGAGUUGUUUGGGAAUGCAGCUCUAAAUGGGUGGUAAAUUCCAUCUAAAGCUAAAUAUUGGCGAGAGACCGAUAGCGAACAAGUACCGUGAGGGAAAGAUGAAAAGAACUUUGGAAAGAGAGUUAAACAGUACGUGAAAUUGUUGAAAGGGAAACGCUUGAAGUCAGUCGUGUUGGUCAGGAAUCAACCUUGCUUUUUUGCUUGGUGCACUUUCUGUUCCAACAGGUCAGCAUCAAUUUUGACCAGUGGAAAAAAGUUGAGUGAAUGUGGCAUCUUUAGAUGUGUUAUAGCACUUGAUUGCAUGCAUUGGUUGGGAUUGAGGUAUUCAGCACGCCGAAAGGCCGGAUUUUUACAUCACGCUCGUGCUUAGGAUGCUGGCAUAAUGGCUUUAAUCGACCCGUCUUGAAACACGGACCAAGGAGUCUAACAUGCCUGCGAGUGUUUGAGUGAAUAAACUCUAGCGCGUAAUGAAAGUGAAAGUUGGGAUCUUUGUCAUGAAGAGCACCGACGCCUGGACCAGAUCUUUUGGGACGGUUCUACGGUAGAGCAUGUAUGUUGGGACCCGAAAGAUGGUGAACUAUGCCUGAAUAGGGUGAAGCCAGAGGAAACUCUGGUGGAGGCUCGUAGCGAUUCUGACGUGCAAAUCGAUCGUCAAAUUUGGGUAUAGGGGCGAAAGACUAAU
Molecule: ribosomal RNA, 918 nt
Filed under: Entoloma nodosporum
Lineage: Eukaryota; Fungi; Basidiomycota; Agaricomycetes; Agaricales; Entolomataceae
Description: partial large subunit ribosomal RNA
Rfam family: Eukaryotic large subunit ribosomal RNA
Source: RNAcentral